GCGUUCUUCGUCUAGCGACCCAGGACGAUCCGACGGAAAACGCGGGUUCGAAUCCCGCAGAACGCC
This 66-nucleotide transfer RNA is filed under the name Escherichia albertii. Its description in RNAcentral is "tRNA-OTHER". It matches the Rfam family "tRNA". Rfam says of the family: Transfer RNA (tRNA) molecules are approximately 80 nucleotides in length. Their secondary structure includes four short double-helical elements and three loops (D, anti-codon, and T loops). The record is from RNAcentral. Lineage: Bacteria; Pseudomonadati; Pseudomonadota; Gammaproteobacteria; Enterobacterales; Enterobacteriaceae.